AGAGUUUGAUCCUGGCUCAGGACAAACGCUGGCGGCGUGCGUAACACAUGCAAGUCGGACGAGGUUAGCGGGUCUCGGAGCUGCUAAGCGAGUGGCGGACGGGUGAGUAACACGUGGAUAACCUACCCUGCUGUGGGGGAUACCCUGUAGAAAUACGGGCUAAUACCGCAUGCGGUCUCGAGGAGAGAGCUUGUCGAGAA
This 200-nucleotide ribosomal RNA is filed under the name uncultured bacterium. Its description in RNAcentral is "partial 16S ribosomal RNA". It matches the Rfam family "Bacterial small subunit ribosomal RNA", at positions 8 to 201 of the family's 1533-position model. The record is from RNAcentral.